GUGGGUGCUUGCGGUCGGCCUUUGGUCAGCACUGCUCGCGCCUACCUUUCUGCCGGGGACGAGCUCCUGGGCUUAACUGUCCGGGACUCGGAAUCGGCGAGGUUACUUUGAGUAAAUUAGAGUGUUCAAAGCAAGCCUACGCUCUGAAUACAUUAGCAUGGAAUAACACGAUAGGACUCUGGCUUAUCUUGUUGGUCUGUAAGACCGGAGUAAUGAUUAAGAGGGACAGUCGGGGGUAUUCGUAUUUCAUUGUCAGAGGUGAAAUUCUUGGAUUUAUGAAAGACGAACUUCUGCGAAAGCAUUUACCAAGGAUGUUUUCAUUAAUCAAGAACGAAAGUUGGGGGCUCGAAGACGAUUAGAUACCGUCGUAGUCUCAACCAUAAACGAUGCCGACUA
This 396-nucleotide ribosomal RNA is filed under the name uncultured eukaryote. Its description in RNAcentral is "SSU rRNA". It matches the Rfam family "Eukaryotic small subunit ribosomal RNA", at positions 648 to 1048 of the family's 1831-position model. The record is from RNAcentral.